RNAcentral lists this ribosomal RNA (519 nucleotides) under uncultured bacterium. Its description in RNAcentral is "bacterial SSU rRNA". It matches the Rfam family "Bacterial small subunit ribosomal RNA", at positions 28 to 526 of the family's 1533-position model. The record is from RNAcentral.
GACGAACGCUGGCGGCGUGCCUAAUACAUGCAAGUCGAGCGGAGUGCGCUGAUUGCUUGCAAUCAGCUUGCUUAGCGGCGGACGGGUGAGUAACACGUAGGCAACCUGCCUGCAAGACCGGGAUAACAUUCGGAAACGAAUGCUAAUACCGGAUACGCAGUAUCCUCGCAUGGGGAGGCUGGGAAAGACGGCGCAAGCUGUCACUUGCAGAUGGGCCUGCGGUGCAUUAGCUAGUUGGUGGGGUAACGGCUCACCAAGGCGACGAUGCAUAGCCGACCUGAGAGGGUGAUCGGCCACACUGGGACUGAGACACGGCCCAGACUCCUACGGGAGGCAGCAGUAGGGAAUCUUCCGCAAUGGACGAAAGUCUGACGGAGCAACGCCGCGUGAGUGAUGAAGGUUUUCGGAUCGUAAAGCUCUGUUGCCAGGGAAGAACAGCCAGGCGAGUAACUGCGCUUGGAAUGACGGUACCUGAGAAGAAAGCCCCGGCUAACUACGUGCCAGCAGCCGCCGUAAUAC